UCGAGAUCGAACGUCUGAUCGUAAUGAAAAAGAAAGACGACGUUUCGAUCGGAACCGCGACAAUGGUUCAAAUGAUCAGUGAUGACCUUUAGGGCAUCGCUGAUGUGCUAGUUACGGCCAUCAGUCGGCAGCACGAGAAUGGUGAUAAAGAGGAUCAAGGCGAUCCGAAAUAUGGGGAGUUACGGAGGUCAUCCGGCCCUCGAAGCAGGAAGAGUAACGGCGCUAACCGGCCUUCCUCAUUACAUUUAAAACGUCACUUUUAGAGUGUAGUUGCGGCCUACUGAGUCGGCACACUCUUGCGGAAUGACAGAAGCCACAAGGGUGAAAAAGAGAAAGAGUUCAAGAAAAUAGGAGUAAAACUUUCAGAUGUUGAGGUUACGGCGAUAACCGGCCUCAGAAGAAAGAGGAGUUACGGCGUUAACCGGCCCUCGAACCUGGUAAGGAAAAGAAGUGCGCGUCAAUUUGCACUACACGGAAAAGAAAAGGAUGUGCGACCGAAGAAAAUGAAAAAGAAUGAUGACCUUUACAAGGGAGGCAAGCAGAAUUGCUUGAAAGCUGAAAAUUGGCUAAGUUCCUCCAUGACCUUUAAUAUUGAACUCAUGAUGAAGAAAUGUAUGACCUUUUGGGAUCGCCACGGCCCAAAUGAGUCGCAUAUCAAAGAGAAAGGGAUGACCUUUGAGAACUUCACUGCUCAACGAGUCAUCAAUCCAAGUUAAAAAGAAUGACCUUACCAGGGAGGAAGCAUUAAGCUUGUCUUUCAAGACGUCCCUCCACGUCCAAGAGGAAGAAUCUCAUUUUGCAGAAGUCGUACUUGAUACGCAUUUAUUCCAAAGAUGAAGAAGCAGUAUUCAGAAGUCGUACUUGAUACGCACCUAUUCCUUAAAGCGGAUCUCAUUUGUGAUGAAAAAGAUUGCUCAAAAAGAGCGGAAUGGACCAAAAGCGGAUUACGGUUGACAGGACCCAGUGACCUUUAGGAGUCGGAGGAUCCUAGUCGUUUUGAUAAUGAAUUCUGUUGAUAUUUUUACUGUUUUUACUUUUGUUUCGAGAUCUCUUUAUUCACACAUGUAAUUGGAAUUUGUGAUGUUAAAGGGAGAUUAAAUCUCGAUGUUUUAUUAAACACACAGACGAGCCGUCAAGGAUCCCAAGGAAUUGGAUGUGGAUUUGCUUCGACGGAGCUCAGCCUCCCUCCCAGAGGCAUGUGAGCGCAGGCGUACAUGCGUACACCCUCGCUUGGCAGUCUGUUGUGUGUUCAUUGCGCGCCCGCCUUACGCGUGGCGAAAGCAUGGUGUUCUGCGCGCACCCGCACUGUGUGGCGGCUACGUGCGCAUUUUCCUCGCUUGCUGCAGUCAGCAAUGCGAAGUUGUCGAAGAGGAAAUUCUAUCGAAUUUAGUCUUGUCAUAAAUUCCUAGCAGUCACGCCAUUUCUCGCUUUCUAUAGCGUAGGCGCUUUUAUAGCAUUGCUAGGCUUUUUGGUAGGCAGAAUUCCGUCAAUUCUGUUCCUACGCGUGAACCUUCACCAGGUCCACGCUCAUAAACUUAUUCCAUAAUAACAGUGCAGGCAGCGUGGAAAAUUGUGGAUUUUCUGAAUGACAUUGAUGACAUCGAUGCAGUCCAUGAGGAGGUUGUCUGUAGAACCUACUCAGGAAAGCAACAGCUCCAAGGAGUUAUUCAUAAAUUUCGACGAGAAAUCGAAGAAAACAAGCAAAACCUGUCGCUAUCGGCUUGCGGUUUUUUCCUGGUCGACAAGGAACACAUUAUGCAUCUGACCGGAAUUUACAUCACUUGUGCACUGUUCUUCUAUCAGCGACGGGAUGAACAAAAAGAUGUCUUAGUUCUGCAGAAAAUUUUAACUUCGGAAGUUAUCGGCAAAAUCAACCGGAUAGAACAAUUUUUCAGCAACUGGAGCUCGGGUGCACUUCCCUGAUCCCGAAAGGUUAUGAUAACGAUUAUUAGAGCAUUUCUAGCUUCUGCAGUAUUUUAUGCUAGGCUUGUGUUUUAAUUUUUGGCUGAAUCAACAUUUCUCUUUGGAAUGCGCUGUUUUUCUCUUGUUUUUUUCUCUGUACGCACUGUCACAAAAUUAUGGCAGCUGCCAGCUGGUGUGAAUAUCAUCUCGUUUAAAGCUGGAAAAAUAUAUUGCUAUAAUGUUAAAUUGAAUGCAUUACACUGCUAUAAUUAAAGCACAACUCGCGGUUCCAAGUCCUGCAUUUUUUCUUU
Long non-coding RNA from Paramacrobiotus metropolitanus, 2213 nucleotides. RefSeq lists it as uncharacterized. The transcript is spliced from 4 exons. The record is from RefSeq and is a predicted model, not a curated record. Lineage: Eukaryota; Metazoa; Tardigrada; Eutardigrada; Parachela; Macrobiotidae.